This 607-nucleotide ribosomal RNA is filed under the name uncultured bacterium. RNAcentral describes it as "bacterial SSU rRNA". It matches the Rfam family "Bacterial small subunit ribosomal RNA", at positions 331 to 929 of the family's 1533-position model. The record is from RNAcentral.
CCAGACUCCUACGGGAGGCAGCAGUAGGGAAUCUUCGGCAAUGGGGGGAACCCUGACCGAGCAACGCCGCGUGAGUGAAGAAGGUUUUCGGAUCGUAAAGCUCUGUUGUUAAGGAAGAACGAGUGUGAGAAUGGAAAGUUCAUACUGUGACGGUACUUAACCAGAAAGGGACGGCUAACUACGUGCCAGCAGCCGCGGUAAUACGUAGGUCCCGAGCGUUGUCCGGAUUUAUUGGGCGUAAAGCGAGCGCAGGCGGUUAGAUAAGUCUGAAGUUAAAGGCAGUGGCUCAACCAUUGUAGGCUUUGGAAACUGUUUAACUUGAGUGCAGAAGGGGAGAGUGGAAUUCCAUGUGUAACGGUGAAAUGCGUAGAUAUAUGGAGGAACACCGGUGGCGAAAGCGGCUCUCUGGUCUGUAACUGACGCUGAGGCUCGAAAGCGUGGGGAGCGAACAGGAUUAGAUACCCUGGUAGUCCACGCCGUAAACGAUGAGUGCUAGGUGUUAGGUCCUUUCCGGGACUUAGUGCCGCAGCUAACGCAUUAAGCACUCCGCCUGGGGAGUACGACCGCAAGGUUGAAACUCAAAGGAAUUGACGGGGGCCCGCACAAG